CCUCCUUAACGAUAAUUUCGAAUUUCAAACGCCCACACGAGUAACCAAAUAUUUAAAAGAACAUACUGAUAUGUAAAAUUUUUGGUAUGUAAUUUUCUAGUAUAUGCAUUUAUGCAUAUAUAAGAUCACUGCAAUUUAAUUAGAAAAGUAAUUAAUAUAUUUUAUUAAGUACUCUCAAAAAAGCGAAAAAUAACCUUUUUUAAGGUUAUAUGAUCAAGUAAAGGAAGAGCACAAGGCGGAUGCCUUGGCAGCAGAAGGCGAUGAAGGACGUAGUAACUUGCGAUAAGCCUCGGGGAGCUGGUAAACAAGCUUCGAUCCGAGGAUUUCCGA
Molecule: unclassified non-coding RNA, 330 nt
Filed under: uncultured Gammaproteobacteria bacterium
Lineage: Bacteria; Pseudomonadati; Pseudomonadota; Gammaproteobacteria
Description: partial 16S-23S ribosomal RNA intergenic spacer
Rfam family: Bacterial large subunit ribosomal RNA (bases 212-330)
Source: RNAcentral